This 2007-nucleotide long non-coding RNA is filed under the name Homo sapiens (human). RNAcentral describes it as "novel transcript". Lineage: Eukaryota; Metazoa; Chordata; Mammalia; Primates; Hominidae. The record is from RNAcentral.
GCGUCUUCCACGCGGCGCUGUGUGUCAUCCACGCAGUGUGCUCUCGCUGCCGUGUUCAGGUCACUGCGAGGGUGAGCCCCGCUUUAUCUACCCCUUCUGCUGUUGAUGGGCACUCGUCUGGGGCUAGAAGGGAUAAGGUUGCUGUGAGCGUUCUCGUGUGUUUUUGGUGCACGCGCACACACAUUUCUCUGGGGUGCAGACCUGUCUAGUAGUGGAACUGCCGUUUCCCAGCACUUUGGAGCAAAGCCCUGUUGCAGUCUGAAGCGGAAAAGGCAGACGGGCCUUCCAUGUUCGUGAUUCCAGCCAGGCACAGAAGGGAAGGACAGGGACAGCAGCCGCGCGGAGGCGAGGAGGGACACUGGGCGCUGCUGUCCCCUCUCAGGGGCAGCCACUCCUCUUGUGGACGCAGGUGUGGUCACCAGAAGGGAAGGACAGCAGAGGACUCUUCAGGGACCUUCCUGGAUCCCCCUGCAAUGGGAGUGGCCUACUUGCUUGACUUGAGGGUGAGACUUGGUCAGCCCUUGACUGUAGGGGGCAGGACCAUGGGCUUCAGUGGGGCAGCACCCAUGACCCACGCCUCUGCUUCCAUUCCCUGCUUACUGCCCGGGCCUCUGGGCAGGGGAGUCUAGUCUCCCUUCCCAGGCUUCCAAUGCCUCGCCCCCUGCUGUGGUAAGGAUUCGCGCUGGUCCCUAUUUAUUAAUCAGGGAACUUGGGGUUCCAGUUUUCUCCCCUUCUCUGCAUCUCAUCCCCUUGAGAGCCCCCUGGAGCAGAGGAUAACGCACGAGGGGACUGGCUGUGUAUAUUUUGAUAACAAUAUCAAAAUACUGUCAAAUACUAAACGGAAAAGAAAUAGGAAAACAUUGAACUUUAUUAAAAUGAACUUCAAAAGACACCAUUAAGAGUAAAAAGAUGACUCACAAAAAAGUUGCCUUUUGUUCAGUAAACGACUCAGGACCAGAAAAUAUGAAGACCCCUACAACAAGAAAAAUAUAGAUAGCUCAGUUAAAAAUUGACAAAAGACUUGAAAAGAUAUUUCACAAAAGGAGAGAUCCAGACAGUCAAUCCACACACGAAAGGGUACUUAGCAUCAGGGAACUGCAAAUAGUGACAUUCGAUUCCAUAUCACAGCCACUGGAUGGCUAAAAUAGCAACGCCAAGUGCUGAUGAGACUGUGGAACAACCAGCUGGGCUCUCAUACCCUGCUGAUGGGAGAGUGGAUUGGAGCAACCACGUGGAAACAUCUAAUGGAGCCUCUCCUGAGAUGGCAAACAGGAGGUCUGGAUCAAUCCUACAGUGUCGGCAAAUGUCUGGAUUACCCUGCAAGGAAAGGGAGGCAUGACAGCUCCACAUCUGUGUUCACCCUUGUGGAUCCCAGGUGAGACUCCAGAUGAAAUGGGAGAGUUCUCUGACCCCCUCACAGGACAUGUGACAGGAGUGUGGCUAGUCUGUUCAGCCUCCACCACUGCUGAAACACCUUAUGGGAGGGGGAGCAUGCAGAUGGGCAAGCGCAGGUGCCAGGGCCAGCGCUUUUGGGCUUCAACCCCAUGGUGGCAUCUAGGGGUGUGUGUCUGUGACUCCUGAAGCCCCAGUGUGUGUGCUCCAGUGCUCUUUUAGCUCUGCUGUCUGUCAGGCCUCUGAGCCCAAGCUAAGCCAUCAGAUCCCCUGUGACCUGCACGUAUACAUCCAGACGGCCUGAAGCAACUGAAGAACCACAAAAGAAGUGAAAAUAGCCAGUUCCUGCCUUAACUGAUGACAAUCCACCAUUGUGAUUUGUUCCUGCCCCACCCUAACUGAUCAAUUGGCCUUGUGACAUUCCUUCUCCUGGGCAACGAGUCUCAUGAUCUCCCCACCCUGCACCUUGUGAGCCCCGUCCCUGCCCACAAGAGAUAACCACCUUUAACUGUAAUUUUCCACUACCUACCCAAAUCAUAUAAAACUGUCCCACCCCUAUCUCCCUUUGCUGACUUCUUUUUCAGACUCAGUCUGCCUGCACCCAGGUGAUUAAAA